CAUGAAAGAAAUGACCGAUUUCUUUAAACAUGAAUUUUUUAUCAUACAAAGUCUGAGUUUUAUUUUUAUAAACUCUUCCUUGGUACAGUAAAACGUUUUAAUGUUAGCAUAAUUUAAGCUAAAUCUCAGAAACGAUCUAGAAAGAUUCAAAAUCAGUUAAUUGUUUACUUGUAUAUGCUAGUGUAUGAUUUGUCGACAUCUUAUUUUGAAAACCGGAUGUUGUUUCACGUAGUUCUUUCCGCUAACUUUGUAAAACCGGAAGUUGUGUCACGUGAAUCCUGCCGCUAACUUUAUCAAAACCCUUGCGCGCUCCCGAUCGAAUGCGUUUACCGUGAACAUCAGUCUAUAGGUGCACAGAAAUUUAAGUGUCGGCUGAGUUGACCACGGAGAUCCGAGUGUCAGCUGAGUUGACCGCAGUCCAUAACGUCCGAGACGUUACAUCAUUGCGCCACCAAGGUCCUGCGAUGUCGGAUCAGAAGCAGCUAAAGUAGCCUAGCUUGUCUUGUCUGCAAGUGUUCAUUAUUCACAAAAGAGAGUAACGCGAGUAACGAACUCAUUUAAAUUUCAGUAAUUGUAACUGCGUUAGUUGAUUAAAAAAAUACUUCGUUACAUGCUCGUUACCGCUAAAAGUAAUGGAAUUACAGUAACGCGUUACUCCCAACACUGUUUAACCGCUACGGAGACGUCAGAGCCAGCGGAGCAUUUAAAAAAGUCCUGCCGAGAUCAGGCUGCUGUCGGCGGCCGCACAGCGCGCUGAGCGCCCGGCGCUCCGGAGCUCAGUGAACAGCAGGACCUCAAAUCUACGGCGCAGGUCUUUAUUAGGCUGAAUCAAAACAAACAGACCACAGAUUUUAUUGUUAAACUACUAACUUCUCGCCUGAAAACAUCCCAACAUGACAUUACUGACUCAACAACAGUAGUAUUUAUAACAAGUCAUCAGUCAGUUGGUUAUUUUCUCCUCCGCUAAUGUGUCCGGUGAAAUGCAUUCUGGGAUAUCUGCUGGCCAGAAUGUGCACGUCUCCUCUGAUGCAUUCUGGGUAAAGCGGGAAGAUCAAGUCACAUCCGGGUAUUUUGACCGUGCUUUGAGAGAAGCGGACUUUGAAUUGAGCUUUAACACCAAAACACGGAGACGUGUCUCGACCGUCGCUCCGACAAACACUUCGCUUCACUUUCACUUCCGGCGUGUGACGUCGAAGCCCCGCCUCUUCCGGCAGCUUGUUUGGGAGGUGGUGUUUCCUCCUGCAGGUGGAGACUUUACUGGAGUCACAGCUCUGCGGUGACGUCACUGUGAGCCCUCCCUUCCUUUCUCUCCGAGUCGCUGACCCAGAGGAGGAAGUUGAAUAUGUGCAGUCUGUUCGUGCCUUUAACCAACGCUCUGCUGACCCCUGCUGGCCACAGGAGGGAACACACCACCACUUUGGGGAUUUGAUGGGCAACGCUGCAGCUCCAAAAUAAAAACUCCAACAGUU
This is a long non-coding RNA of Pseudoliparis swirei, 1469 nucleotides long. RefSeq lists it as uncharacterized. Lineage: Eukaryota; Metazoa; Chordata; Actinopteri; Perciformes; Liparidae. The transcript has 3 exons. The record is from RefSeq and is a predicted model, not a curated record.